CUCUGCAGUUACUGUGAGAGUUGUGACAGUGCAUCCUUCUCUUCCAGAAUCACUAUGAUCCAAUUCAAUAGAGGUGAAUGGCGGAUUUGAACUCUUGUAUCGUGUAUUAAUGCGAAAAUGCAAUGCAGAUAGAAAUAUUCUCUUCAUCAAAACAUUACGCAAGUCACCAUAUGUUCGGACCUUGCUCACUGGAAUAUAUUAAUUGAGAAAUUCUGAAGCAACUCAUGCUGAAAAAUCUGUGGUGGCUUCAUAUGUACAUUGUGUCCAGGGAGAGACCAAUUAUGCUGCACUGGGGGACGAACUGCAUGCCUUUCCUUUUUCAGUAUUUUAGAUUGAUCUAUAGAACUAGAUGAUUUUUCAGGAGAUGAACUUCCAGAGAGCCCAACUGAGAGCUUAGGGACAAGAAAACUAGCCAUUGCACCAAAUGCACUAGGAGUAGGUGCAGAAGUUGUCUCAUUCUCAAGACCAG
Molecule: unclassified non-coding RNA, 469 nt
Filed under: Hevea brasiliensis (rubber tree)
Lineage: Eukaryota; Viridiplantae; Streptophyta; Magnoliopsida; Malpighiales; Euphorbiaceae
Source: RNAcentral